RNAcentral lists this ribosomal RNA (488 nucleotides) under uncultured bacterium. RNAcentral's name for it is "bacterial SSU rRNA". It matches the Rfam family "Bacterial small subunit ribosomal RNA", at positions 28 to 505 of the family's 1533-position model. The record is from RNAcentral.
GAUGAACGCUAGCUACAGGCUUAACACAUGCAAGUCGAGGGGCAGCAUGGUCUUAGCUUGCUAAGGCCGAUGGCGACCGGCGCACGGGUGAGUAACACGUAUCCAACCUGCCGUCUACUCUUGGACAGCCUUCUGAAAGGAUGAUUAAUACAAGAUGGCAUCAUGAGUCCGCAUGUUCACAUGAUUAAAGGUAUUCCGGUAGACGAUGGGGAUGCGUUCCAUUAGAUAGUAGGCGGGGUAACGGCCCACCUAGUCUUCGAUGGAUAGGGGUUCUGAGAGGAAGGUCCCCCACAUUGGAACUGAGACACGGUCCAAACUCCUACGGGAGGCAGCAGUGAGGAAUAUUGGUCAAUGGGCGAGAGUCUGAACCAGCCAAGUAGCGUGCAGGAUGACGGCCCUAUGGGUUGUAAACUGCUUUUAUAAGGGAAUAAAGUGAGUCUCGUGAGACUUUUUGCAUGUACCUUAUGAAUAAGGACCGGCUAAUUCCG